Molecule: ribosomal RNA, 447 nt
Filed under: uncultured bacterium
Lineage: Bacteria
Description: bacterial SSU rRNA
Rfam family: Bacterial small subunit ribosomal RNA
Source: RNAcentral
UCGGGAAUUUUGGGCAAUGGGCGAAAGCCUGACCCAGCAACGCCGCGUGAAGGAUGAAGUAUUUCGGUAUGUAAACUUCGUAAGAAUAGGAAGAAUAAAUGACGGUACUAUUUGUAAGGUCCGGCUAACUACGUGCCAGCAGCCGCGGUAAUACGUAGGGACCAAGCGUUGUUCGGAUUUACUGGGCGUAAAGGGCGCGUAGGCGGCGUGGUAAGUCAGGGGUGAAAUCCCGGGGCUCAACCUCGGAACUGCCUUUGAUACUGUUAGUCUCGAGUCCGGAAGAGGUGAGUGGAAUUCCUAGUGUAGAGGUGAAAUUCGUAGAUAUUAGGAAGAACACCAGUGGCGAAGGCGGCUCACUGGUCCGGUACUGACGCUGAGGUGCGAAAGCGUGGGGAGCAAACAGGAUUAGAUACCCCCGUAGUCCCUGAGCGGGCUGGCAAGGCGCAU